Molecule: ribosomal RNA, 324 nt
Filed under: uncultured eukaryote
Lineage: Eukaryota
Description: partial 18S ribosomal RNA
Rfam family: Eukaryotic small subunit ribosomal RNA
Source: RNAcentral
CCCUAAGAUGUUCUGGGCCGCACGCGCGCUACACUGAUGCAUUCAACGAGUUUCUUCCUGGUCCGAGAGGAAUGGGUAACCUUUUGAAAGUGCAUCGUGAUAGGGAUAGACUAUUGCAAUUAUUGGUCUUCAACGAGGAAUUCCUAGUAGACGUAGUUCAUCAGACUGCAUCGAUUACGUCCCUGCCCUUUGUACACACCGCCCGUCGCUCCUACCGAUUGAAUGCUCAGGUGAGCCAUUCGGACUUUCAUCAUGCUGGUUUCCAGUUUUGAUGAAGGAAAGUCUUGCGAACCUUAUCAUUUAGAGGAAGGAGAAGUCGUAACA